This 652-nucleotide ribosomal RNA is filed under the name uncultured candidate division MSBL6 bacterium. RNAcentral describes it as "bacterial SSU rRNA". It matches the Rfam family "Bacterial small subunit ribosomal RNA", at positions 826 to 1482 of the family's 1533-position model. The record is from RNAcentral.
GUCAUUAAUUAGAUCGGUGCCGGAGUUAACGCAUUAAGUGAACCGCCUGGGGACUACGGCCGCAAGGCUAAAACUCAAGAGAAUUGACGGGGCCCUGCACAAGCGGUGGAGCACGUGGUUUAAUUCGAUGAUAAGCGAAGAACCUUACCUGGGCUUGACAUGCUAGCAGUAGGAGCCAGAGAUGGUAACGACCCCUACCUUUGGUAGGGGAACUAGUACAGGUGAUGCAUGGCUGUCGUCAGCUCGUGUCGUGGGACGUUGGGUUAAGUCCCGAAACGAGCGCAACCCCUGUUGUUAGUUGCCAGCGGGUAAUGCCGGGGACUCUAACAAGACUGCUGGUGAAUAGCCGGAGGAAGGAGGGGAUGACGUCAAGUCAUCAUGUCCCUUAUGUCCAGGGCGACACACAUGCUACAAUGGGAGGUACAAUGGGCUGCUAAACCGCAAGGUCAUGCGAAUCCCAAAAAGCCUUCCUCAGUUCGGAUUGAGGUCUGCAACCCGACCUCAUGAAGCCGGAAUCGCUAGUAAUCGCAGGUCAGCCACACUGCGGUGAAUAUGUACUCAGGGCUUGUACACACCGCCCGUCACACCAAUCGAGUAGAGGGGACCUGAAGUCGUCUUACGGGCGCCUAAGGUAACUUCUGUAAGAGGGGUG